Long non-coding RNA from Cervus elaphus (red deer), 376 nucleotides. RefSeq lists it as uncharacterized. The transcript is spliced from 3 exons. The record is from RefSeq and is a predicted model, not a curated record. Lineage: Eukaryota; Metazoa; Chordata; Mammalia; Artiodactyla; Cervidae.
UGUGAGCCAGAGUCCUGUGGCCUGUGUGACACCAAGGGGUUGAAGCAACCAGUUGGGUAACAGUAUGAUGCAAGUUUCUGUUUCAGAAAAAUGACUAAGAUCUCCAGGUCAUUCUAUUCCAUUUAGAAGAGAAGAAAGUUACCAAGAACUCAAACUUGUAGAUCCAGAAGGGAAAGGGCAAGGUUCCAAAAGCAGAUGGAAACCAAUGAGACAGUAAUUAAAGGAAUGUCUGUUGAGUGCAUACUGAACAUACCCAGACUUCCCCUGAGCCUGAAUGGCUCUAAAAUGCCCACGCUUCUCUGCUGAAGGCAGAUCCUGAUGACCAGUGAGUCCACUAAAGGAAAGUACAUUUUCAGCCUCAUCCUGUUGCAAACCA